RNAcentral lists this microRNA (22 nucleotides) under Macacine alphaherpesvirus 1. Its description in RNAcentral is "hbv-miR-B21RC-5p". Its record names the gene hbv-miR-B21RC-5p. Lineage: Duplodnaviria; Heunggongvirae; Peploviricota; Herviviricetes; Herpesvirales; Orthoherpesviridae. The record is from miRBase by way of RNAcentral.
GCGCCGGGGUGCGAACCUGGGG